CACGUAGGGUGCGAGCGUUGUCCGGAAUUAUUGGGCGUAAAGAGCUCGUAGGCGGUGUGUCGCGUCGGCCGUGAAAACCUGCAGCUUAACUGUGGGCGUGCGGUCGAUACGGGCAUCACUGGAGUUCGGCAGGGGAGACUGGAAUUCCUGGUGUAGCGGUGAAAUGCGCAGAUAUCAGGAGGAACACCGGUGGCGAAGGCGGGUCUCUGGGCCGAUACUGACGCUGUAGAGCGAAAGCGUGGGGAGCGAACAGG
This 254-nucleotide ribosomal RNA is filed under the name uncultured bacterium. RNAcentral's name for it is "partial 16S ribosomal RNA". It matches the Rfam family "Bacterial small subunit ribosomal RNA", at positions 524 to 776 of the family's 1533-position model. The record is from RNAcentral.